ACCUCCUGGCCUAGGCGGUUGCACCGCCUGGUGCAAUCAGGGUCCGAAUGGUUAGCUUCAUUCGGCCCAAUCUCAAUCUUUUCAGGGGCCCAAUUGCCCCAAGAUUAAGCUAAUGGGAUCACCUCCCAUUUUCAAGCUUAAUCAAUGUGCUAACUACGAUUAAAUCUAAGACAACUUCUGUAGCUUUGCUCCGAUGCGUCAAUCGCUUCUUCCGGCGAGUUUCCGGCGAACUUCCGUCGAUCAUCCGAUGAACCCUCAGUGAUUCUUUUGCGGACAUCCGGCAAACUCCUGGACUUUGCGACGAUCCACUUGGCGAGUUCGGAUGAGCUUCGCUUGGCAAGCUUCUGGACUUCUCGGAUCUGUUCUCGCAGAACCUCCGACGACCGUCCGAACUUCCGUCGAACUCUCGAACUCCCAACGUGUUCAUGAUCUUGACUCCGGCGCAACUCCUGCUGCUUGUCUGACUUUCAUCAUACUUAAUCCUGCACACCUAUCUCAACACAUAGAUUAGACAACAAAUGACAAUUGACUUCAUCAUCAAAAUCCGAGAUUUAACAGUUGUACCGCCGGCCGACCCCGAUCUUCUGUGAAGGGUUCGAGUUGGAGCAUGCAUGUCGGGACCCGAAAGAUGGUGAACUAUGCCUGAGCGAGGCAAAGCCAGAGGAAACUCUGGUGGAGGCCCGAAGCGAUACUGACGUGCAAAUCAUUCGUUUGACUUGGGUAUAGGGGCGAAAGACUUAUCGAACCAUCUCGUAGCUGGUUCCCUCCGAAGUUUCCCUCAGGAUAGCUAGUAACCACAUGUGAGUUCUAUCGGGUAAAGCCAAUGAUUAGAGGCAUCGAGGGCGCAAUGCUCUCGAACUAUUCUCAAACUUUAAAUAGGUAGGAUGGCGCGAAUGCUUCGUUGAGCCGCGUUGCGGAAUCGAGAGCUCCAAGUGGGCCAUUUUUGGUAAGCAGAACUGGCGAUGCGGGAAGAACCAGAAGACGGGUUACGGUGCCCAACUGCACACUAUCCCAGACACCACAAAGGGUGUUGGUUAAUUAAGAUAGCAGGACGGUGGUCAUGGAAGUCAAAAUCCGCUAAGGAGUGUGUAACAACUCACCUGCCGAAUCAACUAGCCCCAAAAAUGGAUGGCGUUGAAGCAUGCGACCCACACCCAGCCAUCGGGGCGAGCGCCAAGCCCCGAUGAGUAGGAGGGCACGACAGUCGCCGCAAAACCCAGGGCGCGAGCCCGGGCGGAGCUGCUGUCGGUGCAGAUCUUGGUGGUAGUAGUAAAUAUUCAAAUGAGAACUUUGAAGGCUGAAGAGGGGAAAGGUUCCAUGUGAAUGACACUUGCACAUGAGUUAGCCGAUCCUAAGGGACGGGGGAAGCCCGUCCAAGACCGUGUCUCCGCGCAAGCUCCGAAAGGGAAUCGGGUUAAAAUUCCCAAGCCGGGACGCGGCGGCGGACGGCAACGUUAGGAAGUUCGGAGACGUCGGCAGGGGCCUCGGGAAGAGUUAUCUUUCCUGCUUAAUGACCCACCCACCCUAGAAAUGGCUCAGCCGGAGGUAGGGUCCAGUAGUCGGAAGAGCGCUGCACGUCGUGCGACAUCUGUUGCGCCCCCGACGGCCCUUGAAAAUCCAAGGUGAACAACCUCUGGCCCAUGGAACAAUGUAGGCAAGGGAAGUCGGCAAAACGGAUCUGUAACUUCGGGAAAAGGAUUGGCUCUGAGGGCUGGUAACGGGGGUCCCAGCCCCGAACCCGUCAGUUGUCGGCGGACUGCUCGAGCUGCUCUAGCGGUGAGAGCGGGUCGCCGUGUGCCGACCGGGGGACGGACCGGGAACGGCUCCCUCAGGGGCCUUCCCCGGGCAUCGAACAGCCUACUCAGAACUGGUACGGACAAGGGGAAUCCGACUGUUUAAUUAAAACAAAGCAUUACGAUGGUCCCCGUGGAUGCUCACGCAAUGUGAUUUCUGCCCAGUGCUCUGAAUGUCAAAGUGAAGAAUUCAACCAAGCAUGGGUAAACGGCGGGAGUAACUAUGACUCUCUUAAGGUAGCCAAAUGCCUCGUCAUCUAAUUAGUGACGCGCAUGAAUGAAUUAACGAGAUUCCCACUGUCCCUAUCUACUAUCCAAUGAAACCACAGCCAAGGGAACGGGCUUGGCAGAAUCCGCGAGGAAAGAAGACCCUAUUGAGCUUCACUCUAGUCUAACUUUGGGAAAUGACUUGAGAGGUGUAGGAUACGUGGGAGCCAGUUCGCCGACGGAAGUGAAAUACCACUACUUUUAACGUUAUUUUACUCAUUCCAUGAGUCAGAGGCGGGGCCCAACCCCUCCUUUUGGAUCCAAGGCCCUCCUAGCAGGCCGAUCUGGGUGGAAGACAUUGUUAGAUGGGGAGUUUGGCUAGGGUGGCACAUCUGUUAAAAGAUAAUGCAGGUGUCCUAAGAUGAGCUCAACAAGAACAUAAAUCUUGUGUGGAACAAAAGGGUAAAAGCUCGUUUGAUUCUGAUUUCUAGUACGAAUACGAACCGUGAAAACAUGGCCUAUCGAUCCUUUAGACCUUUGAAAAUUGAAGAUAGAGGUGUCAGAAAAGUUACCACAGGGAUAACUUGCUUGUGGCAGCCAAGCGUUCAUAGCGACGAUACUUUUUGAUCCUUCUAUUUCGGCUCUUCCUAUCAUUGUGAAGCAGAAUUCACCAAGUGUUGGAUUGUUCACCCACCAAUAGGGAACGUGAGCUGGGUUUAGACCAUCCUGCGAUAGGUUAGUUUUACCCUACUGAUGAUUGUGCCGCGAUAGUAAUUAAACCUAGUACGAGAGGAACCAUUGAUUCACACAAUUGGUCAUCGUGCUUGGUUGAAAAGCCAGUGGCGCGAAGCUAGCGUGUCUCGGAUUAUGACUGAAUGCCUCUAAGUCAGAAUCCUAGCUAACAACCAGCGCUCUUGCCCGUCAUUCGCCUCCUGACCCACAGUAGGGGCCUUUGGCCCCCAUGGGCUCAUGUCACUAGUGUAGCCCCCGUGGUGGUAUAGCCACGGGUGGCCAUCGGGAAGUGAAAUGCCACACGGACGAUGGGCCGAAUCCUUUGUAG
This 3060-nucleotide ribosomal RNA is filed under the name Musa schizocarpa. Its description in RNAcentral is "eukaryotic LSU rRNA". The stretch from base 457 to 3060 matches the Rfam family "Eukaryotic large subunit ribosomal RNA". Lineage: Eukaryota; Viridiplantae; Streptophyta; Magnoliopsida; Zingiberales; Musaceae. The record is from RNAcentral.